This 107-nucleotide small nucleolar RNA is filed under the name Gossypium arboreum. RNAcentral's name for it is "Plant small nucleolar RNA R71". It matches the Rfam family "Plant small nucleolar RNA R71". Rfam says of the family: R71 is a member of the C/D box family of snoRNAs containing the C (UGAUGA) and D (CUGA) box motifs. Lineage: Eukaryota; Viridiplantae; Streptophyta; Magnoliopsida; Malvales; Malvaceae. The record is from Rfam by way of RNAcentral.
AAACCAUGCAUCGGGCAUUUUCUAAUUAACUCCUUGAAUUGCUCCUAUGCUUCAUAUAAUGUUUCAUCCUUAGAUUGCCGAAAGCACAUAAUAUCGUUCCUCAGUUU